Molecule: unclassified non-coding RNA, 1419 nt
Filed under: Hevea brasiliensis (rubber tree)
Lineage: Eukaryota; Viridiplantae; Streptophyta; Magnoliopsida; Malpighiales; Euphorbiaceae
Source: RNAcentral
CUGGUAUUGUUGGGAAGUAUGGUAGGUGCAAAUUGAUUAUGUGGAGUCUUGCAAUUUUCUCAGAAUUUAUAUUGUUGCAUUGUUGAAUGGUCAGGUAUUCUUAAUUGUACAGAAUUCAAAAUGAGUAACUGAUCAUGCACUUCAUUAUCUGACGUAGUGUCCUCUGUAGUUAUGAGAUAGUAAUCUUUACCUAAAUGAUACUCCAAUGCUGUAUUGUCAAUUUUGAUAGUAACAAUACCAUUAGUUGCCCAAGGAUGUUAGUGAACUUAAGUUGUCUUGAGCAUCAAUGAAGUUGUGGUUGCUUAAUAUGAGUUGAUUGAAGCUGUUAAUUUGUGAAUGUUGCAACAUGGAAUUUUGUUGUAUGUCUAUAUUUGCCUUAUCUAUUAUGAGACUAAGUUGGUAAUUUAAACCUGAAUGCUAAUCCAGAGCUGUAUUGCAGUUGUGAUAGCAACAAUACCAUUAGUUACACAAGAUGUUAGUGCACUCUAGUUUUCUUGCACAUCAAUGAAAUUAUUUUUACUUAAGAUGAGUUAAUUGAAACUAUUAUUGAGUGAAUGCUGCAUCGUGGAGUUUUGUUGUAUGAUUCUGGAUCUAUGAGGAAUGUGACUGUUAAGAGUAACUGAGUAAGUGUUGUCUUGCUUACAUUCGAGGUCAUGGUUCUUGGCUUGAAAAUUGUCUUGAUGUUUUUAAUGCAGGCACCCGGUAUGGUGCUAGUCUGCGUAAGCAGAUUAAGAAGAUGGAGGUUAGUCAACACAGCAAAUUUUUCUGUGAAUUCUGUGGGAAGUAUGCUGUGAAGAGGAAGGCUGUUGGAAUUUGGGGCUGCAAGGACUGUGGUAAAGUUAAAGCUGGCGGUGCUUACACUUUGAACACUGCCAGUUCUGUGACGGUGAGGAGCACAAUUAGAAGGCUGAGGGAACAAACUGAGAGCUGAGCUGCUUUUGUCAAGGCCUACUUCUCUUUCUUUACGAUAUGUCUGCGCUUGUCUUAGCUAUAGACUACUUGAAAAUGUUUUGAAAUCAAUUCUACAGUUUUGAUGAGUUGAUGUUCAUCUAUGUAGUGCACUCCAUGAUUUUGGGCAUUUAAAUCUUUUACGUCAAGACUUUUAACUCUCAUCAUUUGCUGUUUAACAAUUUAUUUAAUCUUAAUUGCAUUUCAGCCUACCAAGGCCAAACAUAGCUCGCUUCUGAGACACAGUUUCACCUCUUUCAGAGAAUAUUGGUAUUGAUUGAUUUUGUAAACAAGCAGCGUCCCAUUGCACCAUUCUAUGGAAGAGUGGCGCUAACAACUCUUUUCUAAUGUAUGCUUUCCUUAGGUUUCUGCGCCAUCUGUUCUUGUUGUGAAGGGCAAUAGCCUUGGUCUUUAGACUUUUAUGUUCUACAUAUGAUUGGUGGAUGAAUUUUCACAGUACUUGGAUGAAAU